CGAGAGGUGGUGUUGCCUUGGCCUUGUCUAGUGACCAUAAGCCUGAGAGAGUGGAUGAGUUGAAGAGAAUUGAAGCUGCGGGUGGAAAAGUCAUCAAUUGGAA
This is a non-coding RNA of Prunus avium (sweet cherry), 103 nucleotides long. The record is from RefSeq and is a predicted model, not a curated record. NCBI's taxonomy places the organism in Eukaryota, Viridiplantae, Streptophyta, Magnoliopsida, Rosales, Rosaceae.